RNAcentral lists this ribosomal RNA (223 nucleotides) under Klebsiella pneumoniae. RNAcentral's name for it is "partial 16S ribosomal RNA". It matches the Rfam family "Bacterial small subunit ribosomal RNA", at positions 1016 to 1239 of the family's 1533-position model. The record is from RNAcentral. Lineage: Bacteria; Pseudomonadati; Pseudomonadota; Gammaproteobacteria; Enterobacterales; Enterobacteriaceae.
GCCUUCGGGAACUGUGAGACAGGUGCUGCAUGGCUGUCGUCAGCUCGUGUUGUGAAAUGUUGGGUUAAGUCCCGCAACGAGCGCAACCCUUAUCCUUUGUUGCCAGCGGUUCGGCCGGGAACUCAAAGGAGACUGCCAGUGAUAAACUGGAGGAAGGUGGGGAUGACGUCAAGUCAUCAUGGCCCUUACGACCAGGGCUACACACGUGCUACAAUGGCAUAUA